Leptinotarsa decemlineata (Colorado potato beetle) is the source of this 955-nucleotide long non-coding RNA. RefSeq lists it as uncharacterized. Lineage: Eukaryota; Metazoa; Arthropoda; Insecta; Coleoptera; Chrysomelidae. The record is from RefSeq and is a predicted model, not a curated record.
UGAGAUACCAUUUCGAAGUAUGUAUUUUCAUAUCUUUCUGAUUCAGUCUUCAGACUUCUUUUAUUUCUAUUGCAUUGUAUAAUAUGCGAGUAAAAACAUAAAAUCCUCGAAACUAAUAGGCCAGGUAAUAUUUUGCAAUACAAUGAAUCAGUACGUGACAUCACAGGUGAAUUCUAGAUAUUUUUUUUUCACUUUUGUACAUCCUGCGAUUAUUUUUGUUAUGCUUCAAUAAGUUUUAUGUAUUUCAGGUAUCUUCAAAUGCCAUAACUGUUCCAGAACAUACACGAGGAAGGGAAACCUUCAGAGACAUAUUAAAAUUGAGUGCGGAACGAAACCUUCCAUUAUUUGUCCGAUUUGUUCGGCAAAGUUCAAAUAUCAUCACGUCUUGAAAAUACAUUUAAAUUCGGUCCAUGGCGUAGUGCUACCCAAGACCAAUUGAAUGUUCGUUUUUUAUUCAAAAGUAUCCGCAUUAGAAGUUAGGUGACCAGUUGUCUUUGAAGAAAAACAUUGAAGUAUUAAGUUUUCAGUAUUCUGCAACCCCCACUCAUAAUGAUUGGAUCAACAUUGGUCCCGCCAAAUCCAAACGGACCAGGGUUGAACCCAAUUAAUAAUCCGGUGGGCCCGGAACAUAUUCCUACCCGCAGUAGAACAUGUAUCACCAGAGAACAAUCUGAAAUGUUGAUGCAAGUGUAUAGAAAGAACCCAUGCCCACAUGCGGAAAUUAAGAGAAAAUUGGAGGUAGACUCGGGCCUGUCUUAUAAAGUUAUCAAGACCUGGUUCCAGAAUAGAAGACAACUUGACAAAAAAAUGCUUCAAAAGGAGAGCUCUGGUAAAAAUUAAACAGCUCUUGCACGAAGCGAUAUUUAUUUGGACUAAAUUGAAAAAUAAUUAAUAAAUGAUUAUUGGUUUAUACUCUGACAUAGAUAUUUCAAUAAAUUAUCUCUUUAAUGCCAAA